RNAcentral lists this ribosomal RNA (429 nucleotides) under Chloroflexota bacterium. RNAcentral describes it as "Chloroflexi bacterium partial 16S ribosomal RNA". It matches the Rfam family "Bacterial small subunit ribosomal RNA", at positions 355 to 776 of the family's 1533-position model. The record is from RNAcentral. Lineage: Bacteria; Bacillati; Chloroflexota.
UGGGGAAUUUUGCACAAUGGGCGCAAGCCUGAUGCAGCCAUGCCGCGUGUAUGAAGAAGGCCUUCGGGUUGUAAAGUACUUUCAGCGGGGAGGAAGGGAGUAAAGUUAAUACCUUUACUCAUUGACGUUACCCGCAGAAGAAGCACCGGCUAACUCCGUGCCAGCAGCCGCGGUAAUACGGAGGGUGCAAGCAUUAAUCGGAAUUACUGGGCGUAAAGCGCACGCAGGCGGUUUGUUAAGUCAGAUGUGAAAUCCCCGGGCUUAACCCGGGAAUUGCAUCUGAUACUGGUCAGCUAGAGUCUUGUAGAGGGGGGUAGAAUUCCAUGUGUAGCGGUGAAAUGCGUAGAGAUGUGGAGGAAUACCGGUGGCGAAGGCGGCCCCCUGGACGAAGGCUGACGCUCAGGUGCGAAAGCGUGGGGAGCAAACAGG